UAAUACUCUGUGAUCUUUGACAAGUCAUAUAACAUUUUCAAAUCUCAGUUUCAUCUAUAAAAUGGGGAUGGUACUUUCAUGGACUACCUCAGAGGACUGUUAUAAUAAUUCAAUGAAAUGUAGUAUGGUAGAGAAGAAAUAGGGCUAGUUUUAGACUCAUGGGAACUGUGUUCAAAUUAUGCCUCUGUGACUUAUUACUGACUCUGAGAUCUUGAGUAAGUCAUAUUAUCUCUCAGAGACUGUUUCCCCUUAUAAUGAGGAUGUUGGACUCAGUGACAUGUGAGGAUCAACUCAACUCUUAUUAUGUGUUCUUAUGAUAGCCAAAAAUUCUGCAGGCACUCACCACAUGGGUCUCUGACGAUCAAAACUUUCAUGUUCCUUAUAUUUCCUCUAUUUUUUCUUCUCAAAUGUGAUUACAAGCAGCAGCAUUGCAUAGUGUAAAGAGGGCCAGCCUGGAAGUAAAGAAGUGGAAUCAUGAAUGUCUGAAAAAUAGCAAACAACAAUGGUCUGGUUCCAGUACAGUUUAUCAGUAAAAUUGUCCAGGAUAUUUUGGGACUUCUGUUUAUGAUAUGGUCAUUGAUCAUCAGUCAGUCCAUGAAAGAUAGCGAGUUUUGCAUGAACAAUUCUUGCCACCAGGUCAUGCCUUACUAAGUAUUUGGCAGAUGCAAAAAUUUUUAUAGUCUACAAUGAUGUAUUGCUCAUUGUAUGCCAUUUCCUUGAAUAAUUUGUAUUGGUCACUCAGGCCAGAUUCCUUAAAAACAACCCUUUUAUAAUUUUGGUGGUUAUUAAUAUUAAUAUUAUUAGCUUAUUAUUCUUGUCUUUUUUCAAUUAAGUUCAGACAAAAAUGGUCCAGAGGCAAGUUGCCAUCUUAUAUUUUUUUAUAUUUAAUGUUCUGCAGACUAUUGUACCAGUCAAUAAUUCUGGUAUUCUUAAGGAUGACUUUUAUAUAAUUUCUUAUGGCAGUAACUUGAUCCUGAAUCCCUAUCAUAAAACCAUCUUGUGAACAAAUCUGAAUAUCUUGGCCAUUUUGUGAAUGUUUCAUUUUUGACAGGUUUUUAGUUGAAUUCGUGUGGGUUUUACCAUAUUCUUGUUAUUAUUUAUUGUUGUUAUUACUCUUUAAAGUCCUUUCUAGUUCUAGAAAUCUUUUAAAAAUCAUCUGUGUUUAGCUACUAGAAUCCAGGCUCAAUAAUUUAAUUUGACAUUAGGCAAAUACAUGGAGAAGUUGACUCUAAAGAGAUGAAUCAGGGGCAACAACUAGCUGGGUCGUCACCAGAUUUAGAACUCAUCUGUGUGGGGGAGUCACUUCUGUUUUGAAGAAAUGAUGCAGGAAAGUGAUUGUGCUCCUUAGUCCUCCUAUGAACCCCAAAAGACAGCCUCCUGCCAAGUGUUGAGACACAGACAUCCUUGGUUUUAAGGAUACUGUGGGGAAAAACAGAUUGUGAGAAUUUGAAAAUUACAGGAAACUCUUAAAUGGUAGGCCUUCUGGAGGGCUUUAGUGCUCACAAGAAAUAGAAGAAAUUCAGGGAUAAUGCCCCACUUCUAGAGCCUAAAUAAAAUACCUAAUGUGGAUUCAUUGAACCUCUCUUCUUGAAGGAAUUCUUUUCAGUAAGAAUCUGCUACAUACACAUCCCCACUUCAAUCAUUUCAAAUUGCUUCUACCUUCCUUUAUUUCUAAUAGAGUUAUCAUUAAGAAGUUAGCAUUUUUAAUUUACUUUGGUGGGAUUUUUUGAGGCCUUAAAACACUUUUCUCAGUCUUGGUGACAACAAACUCAUUUUUCACUAUAAUUAAAAUGUCACUUUGAUAAAUAAUUCAAUCAACCCCCUUCCACCUAUGAAUAGCUUUUUGCUAUAAUUGUUCACAUUCUAGUGAAUUUGGGAAUGUUGAGAAAGAAUUUAAGAAGUAUUUAGGCAACAAAGAUAAAUAGAAUUUAUUUUCAGUCCUUCCACAACCCAUUCUUAACCAAAAAUAUUUUCAUACCAAGACCCCUCCAACCAUUGCUUUCCCCCAUUCCUUCCUGACAUGGUUUAGAAGGAUAGAAAGGGCAGGAAUAGGUUUUAUCUUCCAGAAAAGUAUAGCAUCUGAGAAAGAAUAUAUUCUCUGUCUCUUUCCUUGAAAGUCAUGUAGCAAAAUUAACGGGUCUAUUUGUGUAGUACAGUGCUUUUAACAUAGCUGACACUUAAUAAGUUUUUAUUGAUUUAAAUGGAAUUUAAUUUAAGUUGUGUUGAACUAGCAAUAAUGUUCUGAGAGCUGAAUAGAAUGUCCAGAACAAUGGCCCCACUUUUGUGUCUACUGAAAAAUAAGCAGUACAUGGGUUUUUAUUGCUACAGUUGCCAGGCAUCCUUGAAUUUUGUAGUUUCAAAUGAAGCACCCAGUGCUGCCCAUGACAUGAUGACCCCUCCCCAAAAAAAAGCUAUUCCAGAUUAAAGAUUGAUACUUGGUGAGCCAGUAUCCACUAAAAAGCUUAUAAGCCCCAACAUGUGUGUUUUAUUUUAUUAGAAAAACCAAAGGAUACAGUUCAAAGCUUAAGACAUUUUAAUCAAGGGAACUGCAAAAAAAAAAAAAAAAAAAAAAGACAAAAAAGCCUCCUCCCCCCCAAUAAUACAAAAAAAUAAAAAUCUUACAUGUUAUCACACUACCAAAGGAAGAAAGGAAAAACAUGUUGGGAACAUGAAUGACUAGGGAACACUAGUGAAGGAGUGACCAAGGAAUAUAUAUGGCCAGGAUAAAUUGAGCCUUCAAUGCUGAAGAAGCACCUCAAAUGUCUGGCGAUGUCAUUGCUCUUUUCUGCUCUCUUCUGAUCAUCUCCUUUGAUUUGCUUCUUCUUUCUUUUGCCAUCUUCAGGUCUUCAAAUGAAAUACAACUUCUUCAGGAGGGGUCUGACAGCUUAUUAGCCUAUAGCCCCAGGUACUAUUCAUGAUGCAGACCUCAGUUAGCUAAAGAAUUAUAAAAUCAUAGAAUUUUAGAGUUAGAAGAGAUCUUUGCAAGUAUGUAGUAUAAUCUAGAAUGGUUAAAUAAUUCUACACUCAGAUAAAAGACCUCCAAUUAAAAGCCUUUAAGCAUUUUACAUUUGCCUUUUUAACUGGUUGAUUUCAAUAUAAACUAUAAAAUUUGACUUAAAGUGAAAAAUUUCUGUCAGCUCCUUUUCAUUCACAGGAUAUUAAAAGAGGCCCACAAAAGCACAGGAGUUAGUUGGAGAAGACUAAAAGGGGAUGAUGACCUCUGUCCUACUCCAUGGCAUAAGUGAUUUUUAGAUGUCCAAGCAGACCACAGGGCUAUAGAUUUAGAGCUGGAAGAUAAUUGAGAGCUCGUUCACUUUCACUCUUUUAUUUUACAGUUGAGGAAACUGAGUCCCAGAGACUAAGGUCACUAAGCAGCAGAACCAGCAUUUGAAACAUGCUCCUUUGACUUGUUCGAUUGAACCCCAAAUAGUAUUUGAAGCAUGUUUGAUUUGGGACACCAAUGUUACCAAUGCUGAGAUAGUGUUAGAUGGCAUAGUGGCUAAAGCUCCAGACCCAGCAUCAAACACUUUCUAAUUAUGUGACUCUGGGCAAAUCUUUUAACUAUUUUUGCCUCAAUUUCCUCAUCUGUAAAAUGAGAUGGAAAAGGAAAUGGCAUACCAUCCCAGUAUCUUUGCCAAAAAAAAAAAAAAAAAAAUCCAAGUGGGGUCAUGAAGAGUUAGAAAUGAUUGAUAUGUAUGAAGAAAAAAAACAAAAUUACCAAUACCAAUACCCUUUCUUGGGAAAAAAAAAAUUCAGUGAAUGUGUCUCCCUGAUCACUUUCCCAAAAAGUUAUCAAAGUCUCCACAAUGCUUCAAAGGGAUCCUUAGAACCCAGGUGUCUUACCAGCUCCUUCCAUAGACCCAAGGGACUCACUGUUAUUGUUAUUCAUCACGCCAUUGUUUUCUAAGCCUGUGCUGAAAACAUGCUUUCUGGAAAUGGGCCAGGGAGGGGAAUAGUGAGAAGAUAAAGGUAGCAGAAAGAAAUCAGUCAUAAAGUCAUAUCACGUCCCCACUCACAACUUAGUCCUCAGAGCUGAUCAGACUCCAAAGUACAGAACAUCAAUCACGGAGCUAUAUCUGAGACAGUGGUGUCUGGUUUCAACAAGUUGAAUUUAUUCAUUAGAAAAACAGAAGAAAAAAAAGUUGUUGCAAAAAUAUACCCUGUGAUUGGGACUGACUAGAGAUCAGGAGUGAAGAAUGCUGAAAGUUGACAUUUGCACUGAUUUCUGAGAGUACUAAGUGUGUCCCCAGGAGAUAGAAAAAAGGACUAACAGUCAGCUUCCUUUCCACUACACAUUUCCUGCUGAGGAAGGUCCAUUUUGACAACUGUGAGUACAUUGCCUAGGCUGGAUCUGCCCCAAGAAACUGUAGGUGAAGGGAAAAGUCCCCUUGCCAGUGCCGGCAGGAGCUCAGGAUGCUUUCUGGGAAGGCAACCUAGGCAUCUCCUGGUCCUCGGGGCUGGUUUCCUGAGAUGGAUAGUAUACUAAUACAUUGCCUGCAUGAAAGGUAACCUUGGUUGUUAAAUAACACCCCUAUCACAUGGAAUUAGGAUGAUUUACUAUUCAAACAAAAUGUUCCCACUUGGCUUAGAAAGAACAAGUAUGAUAUGGAUUUUGUGUAGUUGUUACUAACCACAUGUAAAAGUCACUUCUUUUACACAUAGGAGGUAGGUCUUCUAUCAAUAAAUCAAUCAAUCAUUAUUUAAUAAAUGCUUACUAUAUGCCAUGAUUUAAGGAUUUUAAAAAAAUACAAAAGUCAAAAGGGCCCUCUCCUCAAGAAGUAUAUUAUAUUCAAGGACAGGUAGAAAAAUAACAUGGACACAUAAACAUAAAUAUCAGAUAUAUACAAACAAAGUUAAUUUAGCAGCUAGGAAGAUGAAGAAGACUCUUAUUUCAGAGAUAACCUGAUAUGCUUUAAACAUCUAUGAGGGGUUAGUUUAAGUUUGGAAAGCUAGAGAAAGAUAUUACAAGCCAAGGAAAUGCCAAUCCAUUUGAAAGAAGGCUAUCAAUCAGAAAAUGCUAGAUUAUUUUUGACUUUGAAGAAGUAGAAAUCAAUAUAACACUAAACCUCUUUAAAAGUGUUUAUUAGAAUCAUACACUUAUGUAUAUUCUAAGGAUUUUCGUGGCUAUCUAAUCCAGCCCCCUCAUUUUGUAGAUGAGGUUAUUGCUAUGUGGUAUAGUGGAUAGAGUACUGAGCCUGGAGUCAAGAAGAUUCCUUCUUCAAGUUACUUAACCCUAUUUGCCUCCGUUUCCUCAUCUAUAAAAUUAAUUGUAAAAGGAAAUGGCAAAGCACUUCAGUAUCUUUGUCCCCCCCCAAAAAAAAACAAACAAAAAAAUGGAGUCAUGAAGAGUCAGACAUGACCAAAAAAAUGACUGAACAACCAAGACCCAGAAAAAUUUUCCCAACAUCACAUAAUUUGGAAUUUAUAUUCAAACCUAGAUUCACAUUCCACAAAUCUUGUGCCCUUGCCAUAACACCACACUAAUUUCCCAGAUUUUCAGACAUGUUGCUGUUCAGUUGUUUUUCAGUCAUGUCCAAUUCGUCAUUGACUCCAUUUGGGGUUUUCUUGGCAAAUAUACAGGAGUGGUUUGAUAUUUCCUUCUCUAGCUCAUUUUACAGAUGAGGAAAUUGAAGCAAAUUUCAGACCUUGAGAAUUUCAUUUUAAUGGCUUUGAAAAAUAGAUGACAAAAGGACCAAUUUUGGUACUUAUUAUAACUUUUUCAAAAUGAAAAUAAUUAUCCUAAAUUUAUACAUAUAUAUACAUGUAUACAUAUGUGUGUGCAUAUAUAUUUCCUUUUGCUAGGCAAUUGGGGUUGUUGACUUGUCCAGGGCUACACAGCUGGGAAGUGUUAAGUGUCUGAAGCUCAAUGUAAACUCAGGUCCUCCUGACUCCAGGACUGGUGCUCUAUCUAUUGCAUCAUCUAGCUACCCUUAACCUAAAAAUGUCCUAAACAAUUCUCCAUAUCUGGACAAGGCCAACACAGUCAUGGGAAAAUAAAUGUACAUUUCUAGAAAUUUUAUAAACAUCAAUUAAGUAUAUUUUAUGCAUAGGCUGCUGGAAAUAUAAACACAAAAUUGAAUUCUUUCCUGCCCUCAGGAAGUUAUAUUCUACUGAAGAAAUAUAAAAAUUGCCUUGUCAACUAUAUAAAUAACUGUAGUAGAAUUUAUGAAGGAGAAAAUAUUAACAACUGAUGAGAAAAAUUCACAUGAAAACAUGGCACCUAAACUGAACCUAGAAGGAAGUCAGGUACAAUGAGAGUAAAAAUGAGGUAAUACAUACCACACAUGAGGAACUACCUGUGGAAAUAUACAGUGGCAGAGGUUGGAGUAUCAAGUUUAGGGAACUGAUAGUAGUUUAAGUAGGCUGUCAUCCAGGAUUUAUGAAAAGGAUAGGGGUGGAGAGUAAAAUACAUUAGAAAGGUAUGUGGAGCUGAGAUUGGAGAAGACAUUGAGAGACAGGCUAAGCAGUUUGCAUUUCAUCACAGAAGAAAUGGAGAGAUACUGAUGUGUUGUUGUUGUUUUGAGAAGUAUGCAUUUCUUUGAUCGUUGUGUGAAGGACAGUGUGAAGACAAGAAAAGCUGGAAGUAGGAAAACUAAUUAGGAAAUUUUUACAGGAAUACAAAGGAAAGGUGAUAAUGGCCUGAAUUAAGACAAGAAAUGUAUGAGUGGAUGGGAUAGAUGGGCCUGAUAUAUUAAAGAAGUAGAAUCAACAAGACUUGACAACUAAUUCAAUAUGGAAGGUAAGGUAGAGGAAAGAGUCAAAGAUGGACCUAGGUUAGGAACUUGGAUCAUUAGAAAAAUAGUGGUAUCUGAAGCAGAAAUAAGGAAGAAGAAGAAAAGCAGUUUAGGGAUUGAAGAAAGAUCAUGAGAUACACUUUUGAACAUUUUGAAUUUGAAAGACUUAAGAGGAAAUCCAGAAAGAUUGUGAAUAAGGGUAAUUCAGGGGUGAAAUGGAAAUAUAGAUUUAGGAGGCAUCUGUGUAGAGAUCAUACUUAAACAUUUGAUGAGGUCUCCAAGAUAAGGUAUAUAAAGUAAAUGGAUCCAGGUCAGAACCCUGGAAAAUAUAAAGAACAUAAAACAAAGAAAAUAGAAUAGGGAUUAUGGUCAACAAAGGAAACCCCUCCUCCCCC
Molecule: long non-coding RNA, 7129 nt
Organism: Antechinus flavipes (yellow-footed antechinus)
Lineage: Eukaryota; Metazoa; Chordata; Mammalia; Dasyuromorphia; Dasyuridae
Exons: 2
Source: RefSeq, a predicted model, not a curated record